Long non-coding RNA from Lagopus leucura (white-tailed ptarmigan), 873 nucleotides. RefSeq lists it as uncharacterized. The record is from RefSeq and is a predicted model, not a curated record. The transcript is spliced from 4 exons. Lineage: Eukaryota; Metazoa; Chordata; Aves; Galliformes; Phasianidae.
AGCUGUAAGCAGCAGAGACAAGAAUGAGACGGUGGCUUGAGAAAAACUUCAGAAAACUGUAAAUCUGGUUGUAGGGCAGCUGGUUGGAUUGAUAAUGCUGCAGCCCUUAAACACAAAAUGCUAGAUUGGUAUAAAACCAUUCUGAUGUAAGAUGCAUCAGCCUAUGGGACUCCAAACAGCACAGAACUGGGUCAAGAAUGCUCCCGCCAGGAAAGACAAUGGUUACUUAGGGUUUGUCUACUCAGGGAGCUCAGAGCUGCUGAUGGAUGUUACCAAGCUUCAUGUGAACCAGCUUCAUCCAUGAAAAGGUAGCAGAAGGUGAAGUGUGCCAAAUUCAUGGCUGCUGGAAGCCACUUUCAAACUUCUAGCAAGGUGGUCCGUCCAGUUUUUAUUGCCACAGCUCUGUAUUGGUUACAGCUUCAAGGAAAGGAAAUGUAUACUUGCCACUUGAAGUACCCAGAUGCAGGACAGACAUCUUGAGAGGACACGCUCAAACAUUUCUGCCUAUUUUCAAGUGAACUUGCAGUUCUGGAACUUCCAAGGCAGAUGAGGAAAAGAAACUGAAGACAGUGAGAUGAAGGAGGGAUUAUUCUCCUUUAACCAGGUUGUAACACAAACAUUCAAAAACUAUUUGGUACUUCCAUUGUCACAGGAACCACGUGACCACAGAUGAGAAUAACAUAUUUCCAACCAAAUUCUGUAACAACAUUUUCUCAACUGCUAAAGGAGUAAUAAGCUGAUGGUAAAACAUGAAUCAUUUAGUCUAUAUAAAUACAUGAUUUUAGCAUGGGUGCAUUGUGGAAAGCUAUGUCACAAGUGUAUGAUGUAUAUUGAAAGAUGAUGGAUAAUUUCACUGCAAUUAUUUGUUCUUUU